RNAcentral lists this ribosomal RNA (254 nucleotides) under uncultured bacterium. RNAcentral's name for it is "partial 16S ribosomal RNA". It matches the Rfam family "Bacterial small subunit ribosomal RNA", at positions 524 to 776 of the family's 1533-position model. The record is from RNAcentral.
UACGGAGGGUGCGAGCGUUGUCCGGAAUCACUGGGCGUAAAGGGCGCGUAGGCGGCGCGGGUAGUCGUCGGUGAAAGCUCAGGGCUCAACCCUGAGUCGGCCGGUGAUACUCCCGUGCUCGAGCACUGUAGAGGCAGGUGGAAUUCCGGGUGUAGCGGUGGAAUGCGUAGAGAUCCGGAAGAACACCGGUGGCGAAGGCGGCCUGCUGGGACGUGGCUGGACGCUGAUGCGCGACAGCGUGGGGAGCAAACAGG